This 383-nucleotide ribosomal RNA is filed under the name uncultured bacterium. RNAcentral's name for it is "bacterial SSU rRNA". It matches the Rfam family "Bacterial small subunit ribosomal RNA", at positions 30 to 412 of the family's 1533-position model. The record is from RNAcentral.
AUUGAACGCUGGCGGCAUGCCUUACACAUGCAAGUCGAACGGCAGCACGGGGGCAACCCUGGUGGCGAGUGGCGAACGGGUGAGUAAUACAUCGGAAUGUACCCAGUAGUGGGGGGAUAACUAGUCGAAAGAUUAGCUAAUACCGCAUACGCACUAUGGUGGAAAGCGGGGGAUCGCAAGACCUCGCGCUAUUGGAGCAGCCGAUGUCCGAUUAGGUAGUUGGUGGGGUAAAGGCCUACCAAGCCUGCGAUCGGUAACUGGUCUGAGAGGACGACCAGUCACACUGGGACUGAGACACGGCCCAGACUCCUACGGGAGGCAGCAGUGGGGAAUUUUGGACAAUGGGGGAAACCCUGAUCCAGCAAUGCCGCGUGUGUGACGAA